RNAcentral lists this long non-coding RNA (228 nucleotides) under Manihot esculenta (cassava). Its description in RNAcentral is "long non-coding RNA (MESC_LNC003743)". Lineage: Eukaryota; Viridiplantae; Streptophyta; Magnoliopsida; Malpighiales; Euphorbiaceae. The record is from RNAcentral.
AGUCAUUAGCCUCAGCGUAGCCAUAGUUCGGUUGGCCUCCCCAAUAUGAAUUGUAUGUGUCAUGGUAGGGAUCAUGUCUUGGCUGUUCAUAGUAUCCUCCAUAUGCAUGAACUGGUUGGUCAUUGAAUCCUCCAAAUGUAUGCAUUGGUUGGUCAUCCUCAUAAAGUGUAGGACAUCGGGAAGUUAGGUGUCCCACAUAUCCAUAGAUCAUACAUGGCUUUGGUGGCU